RNAcentral lists this ribosomal RNA (253 nucleotides) under uncultured bacterium. RNAcentral describes it as "partial 16S ribosomal RNA". It matches the Rfam family "Bacterial small subunit ribosomal RNA", at positions 524 to 776 of the family's 1533-position model. The record is from RNAcentral.
UACAGAGGGUGCAAGCGUUAAUCGGAAUUACUGGGCGUAAAGCGCACGUAGGCGGUUUUUUAAGUCAGAUGUGAAAGCCCCGGGCUCAACCUGGGAAUUGCAUCUGAUACUGGGAAGCUAGAGUAUGUGAGAGGGGGGUAGAAUUCCAAGUGUAGCGGUGAAAUGCGUAGAGAUUUGGAGGAAUACCAGUGGCGAAGGCGGCCCCCUGGCACAAUACUGACGCUCAGGUGCGAAAGCGUGGGGAGCAAACAGG